AAACUGAGUCUUUCAGGCUGUUAUCUGUGAUUGAUGGCAUGUUUUUUAGGUUUUUGUUAAAAUGACUUGCAGAUAAACACUUGAGCAAAUCAGGGGCAUUACUUAUUGUAAGAUGGUGGAGCAUCAAAACAGAAGGAGUUAAGAGAUGAACAUACGGCACAGUCCGAUUUAAGUAGUUUCAGGGAGGAGAAUUCCAGUUUAAAACAAAUUUGAUAGCAUGUAGGUUUACAAAUGGCGUAUGUGAUGUGUUCAUAAUGACUUUUACUUUUCUCAUUUAGUUAUCGAUGCCAACCAAACAGACACAUCUCAAGCAGUAAUUAAAAAUGCAAAUGGAAAGGCCAAAGAUCCCAGAAGAAAAGCAAAAGUGAUGAAACAAUCAAUUUCUUUGGAAAAUGCAAGAAGGGUUCAGAAACGACAGUGGUCUCCCAAGGAGGUUGAAGCUAUGAUGAGACAUUUUGAAGAACAUAUCAG
Molecule: long non-coding RNA, 471 nt
Organism: Periophthalmus magnuspinnatus
Lineage: Eukaryota; Metazoa; Chordata; Actinopteri; Gobiiformes; Gobiidae
Exons: 3
Source: RefSeq, a predicted model, not a curated record